This 131-nucleotide small nucleolar RNA is filed under the name Mastacembelus armatus (zig-zag eel). RNAcentral's name for it is "Small nucleolar RNA SNORA55 (ENSMAMG00000004397.2)". It matches the Rfam family "Small nucleolar RNA SNORA55". Rfam says of the family: ACA55 is a member of the H/ACA class of snoRNA that guide the sites of modification of uridines to pseudouridines. The record is from Rfam by way of RNAcentral. Lineage: Eukaryota; Metazoa; Chordata; Actinopteri; Synbranchiformes; Mastacembelidae.
GCACCUCACAACAACCCUGUCAUUCCUGGUCAGUGACUGAUGUGGGUAAUGCUGGUGCCAUAGAGACUCAAUGUAAAUCCAGACGGACCUCCUCUUCCUGUGGGGGCUGUCUCUACAACUUUGAUACAUAU